GGGCCCGUAGCUCAGCGGACAGAGCAGCCGCCUUCUAAGCGGUAGGUCGGGGGUUCAAAUCCCUCCGGGCCCGCCA
RNAcentral lists this transfer RNA (76 nucleotides) under Thermus sp. RNAcentral describes it as "tRNA-Arg". It matches the Rfam family "tRNA". Rfam says of the family: Transfer RNA (tRNA) molecules are approximately 80 nucleotides in length. The record is from RNAcentral. Lineage: Bacteria; Thermotogati; Deinococcota; Deinococci; Thermales; Thermaceae. RNAcentral also lists the same sequence under 2 other names.